GGCCCUGUCGGUGCUGGUCAGCGGCCCGCCGCCCCAAAGAAGCAGCGGACUUUUAAUCCGCUGGUCGUGGGUUCGAGUCCCACGGGGCCC
RNAcentral lists this transfer RNA (90 nucleotides) under Bifidobacteriaceae bacterium. Its description in RNAcentral is "tRNA-Lys". The stretch from base 23 to 90 matches the Rfam family "tRNA". Rfam says of the family: Transfer RNA (tRNA) molecules are approximately 80 nucleotides in length. Their secondary structure includes four short double-helical elements and three loops (D, anti-codon, and T loops). Lineage: Bacteria; Bacillati; Actinomycetota; Actinomycetes; Bifidobacteriales; Bifidobacteriaceae. The record is from RNAcentral.